GUGGGGAAUCUUUCGCAAUGGGCGAAAGCCUGACGCAGCCAUGCCGCGUGAAUGAUGAAGGUCUUAGGAUUGUAAAAUUCUUUCACCGGGGACGAUAAUGACGGUACCCGGAGAAGAAGCUCCGGCUAACUUCGUGCCAGCAGCCGCGGUAAUACGAAGGGGGCUAGCGUUGCUCGGAAUUACUGGGCGUAAAGGGCGCGUAGGCGGACAGCUUAGUCAGAGGUGAAAGCCCAGGGCUCAACCUUGGAAUUGCCUUUGAUACUGGCUGUCUUGAGUGUGGGAGAGGUGAGUGGAACUCCGAGUGUAGAGGUGAAAUUCGUAGAUAUUCGGAAGAACACCAGUGGCGAAGGCGACUCACUGGCCCAAUACUGACGCUGAGGCGCGAAAGCGUGGGGAGCAAACAGGAUUAGAUACCCGUGUAGUCC
This 425-nucleotide ribosomal RNA is filed under the name uncultured bacterium. Its description in RNAcentral is "partial 16S ribosomal RNA". It matches the Rfam family "Bacterial small subunit ribosomal RNA", at positions 354 to 796 of the family's 1533-position model. The record is from RNAcentral.